Molecule: unclassified non-coding RNA, 6584 nt
Filed under: Daphnia magna
Lineage: Eukaryota; Metazoa; Arthropoda; Branchiopoda; Diplostraca; Daphniidae
Description: protein phosphatase 1 regulatory subunit 12A, transcript variant X6
Source: RNAcentral
UAAAAACAAAAAAAAUCAGGCCAAGAUGGCGUCUGCCUGGGGCAGAAUUGAGUCUCUUCUCCAUCCCCAUCCAUUCAUGUGUGCCUGUGUGUUGUAACUAGACGAAACUCGUGCCAAUUUGGUGGGGGUGAAAUAUCCAGACUGCGGUCUUCUAUCAAUAGAAGAAGCCGCAUAAAGGAUAGCUAGAGAUCGCCGGCCGGGAAAGGAUUUAGAUACAGUGUGUGCCUUCUCCGACGUGUUUAUACAAUAGAGCAAUUGGCACCUCCCGUCUUCCACUCCCUUGUGUUGUCCUGUGCCUUCUUUCGCUGUCCGAUCUCCGUGAGUCGCAUUCCCUUCAAGGGAUCGGAAAGUGCCCAUAUUGCAUUCUACAGUGGCUUACGGUUGCGUUGAAACGCCGCCAAAAACAUGGAAUCAAGAACCAAUUCAGCUCUGUUCAAAAGGGCUGAACAACUGAGAAGGUGGGAGGAAUCAGAGACAAACAAGGAACCUGCAUCUGCUCGUGUUGUUUCAAGGAGGAUCCAGUUCUCUGAUGGAUGUGUAUUUCUCUCUGCUUGUGCUGCCGGUGACAAGGAAGAAGUCAUCAAACUCAUUCGACAAGGAGCUGACAUAGACACCCCCAACGUUGACGGUUUGACUGCUCUGCAUCAGGCCUGCAUUGAUGAUAAUUUAGACAUGGUGGAGUUUUUGGUAGAACAUGGAGCUGAUAUUAACCGUGGAGAUCAUGAAGGCUGGACUCCUCUGCAUGCCACUGCCUCUUGUGGGUUUCUAUCAAUUGCCAGGUACCUGAUUGAGCACAACUCAGACGUUGCUGCUGUGAACAAUGAUGGUGAGCUCCCCAUUGACAUAGCUGAAACAGAAGCUAUGGAAGAAUUGCUCGAACGCGAAACACAGUUACGAGGCAUUGACUGCGAUGCGGCGCGAAGCCAAGAGGAACGACAAAUGCUUGCCGACACUAGUCGGUGGCUGGAAGGCGACCCGGCCUCAGCUCGGCUGCUCCAGCCGCACCCUAGAACAGGCGCAACUCCGCUGCAUGUUGCUGCGGCUAAAGGCUACAUCCGAGUUAUGAGCAUGCUGGUCCAAGGCGGAAGCGAGCUGAACAUUCAAGACAUCGAUGGCUGGACACCAUUACAUGCGGCUGCCCAUUGGGGUCAACGUGAAGCAUGUCAACUGUUGUGCGAAAAUAUGGCUGAUAUGGAAGUUCGCAAUUACGUGGGUCAGACGUGUUUUGAUGUGGCUGAUCCUGACAUUAUCCGGUUACUUGAGGAGUGUAAAAAGCGCCAGGCUAUUAUUUUACGAGAACGGCCUGAAGUGUACAACAAUCGAGGCAAUGCUAGAAAUCAGUCACCGCCCAAAAGACGAUCUUCGGUCACCCGGACUCCACAGAUAGAGAAGGCCGCCAUCCAGGCCUCGUCCAAAAUCACCGAUAAAGUGCCUGGUGCCGUCAUCAUGGUCGACGAAGAAAAGGAGAACAGCAGCGGGGAAUUGUCUUCACCCGUGGCCCCUCUUGCCGUCCAGGAGUCCUUUGAAGAAAGAGCCAAACCUGCCACAACCCCUGCCAACACUACCACAUCCGUCCCGACUUCAACGAAAGAUAAUUCUCCUAGAGGGACUUCGUCAAGUGGACCCCCGUCACGUCCACCACCUCCACCAGCCACAGAUGUGGACGCUUUGCCGUCUUCGCCAUCACAGCAAUCGGGUCAGAUGAUUGAAUCCGAGGAGGAUAUUCCUUCUUGGAGAAGACCUGGCUCGUUCCGUUCGAGGCAAGCAGCCAAUGCAGCCAAUGGUAGCGGAGCCUUGAACCACACUCCGGCUAAAUCGGAGCGAGAAGGAUUAAACCGGUCCACCUCUCAGCCUUUAACUCCUGUGACGGCCGUCACAUCUUCCUCGUCGUCGGCCACCCCUCAGUCCUCUUCAACGACUUCGUCCAACCUCGCCUCAACCGCCUCAUCCAUCUCCUCAUCAACGUCCGCCUUGUCUACCGAUACGGAAGUGACACUACGGAGAGCUCACAGUUUCGAGUCCGAUGAACGAUUUUAUUCGCGGCUACUGGAACUGAAGCGACGGAUCAAGGCCAAUUCUUUGCCUCUGCUGGCCGCCGCCUCGCUCACUCCGAUCUUGAGCGGCAGCAGCAGCGGUGGGGAGGAUGCCAAGGGUGGAGGCUCACCUACUACCACUACUAACACUAUUCAUUCAACCAAUAACCGAAGCCGAGUCGAACAAACCCAACAAAUUGACGACGACCUUGAACAAGUCGUUCUACGGGUAAAAAGUCGGUUGGGAACGGAAUGUCCCGUCGAACAAACGACAACGGCCACGUUGGUCUUAUCGCAGCCCAGUGUGCCGUCAUCGGCCAAUCAGCCCAUACGCAGUCCGACGGCCAACAUGGUUGUGACCACGACAGCGACCUCAUCGCUCUCCAACGUCAAACUAAGUCCUGGAACGAUUAUCAAGAAUUUCUUCAAGUCAUUUGUUCCUCCAGUACGUGACGAAGAGUCAGAAACGCAGCGAAAGGCGCACGCCAAGCGCGUCCGCGAAACCCGGCGUUCCACGCAGGGCGUUACGCUGGAAGAGGUCAAAACGGCCGAACAGCUAGCCAAGAAAAAACAGGCCGAAACUCCUUCCGUACCUACGACGACGACGACGACCACCACCUCCGAAGUCCCCGAGUCGGCUGAUUCAAAAUCCGAGCUGGAACGACGGCCAUCCUGGAGAUUAUGCAUCAACGACAACAACAAGAACAAGUUCUCAUUGGAAGAUUCACGGAGUAAGAAUAAUGGAGGAGGAGGCGGUGUGAAUGCUUCGUCCACCAUCACAUCAUCAACAGCCGACACGGUCAUCACGAUCCCGCUGCGUCGCAACAAAGCCCAGGAAGAAGAAAUAAAGGAAACAACGAAAGAGAGCGCAGCAGCCGCUACCCCGGCAACGAUCCAACGGAGGCGCCGACCCAAACGGCGCUCGACGGGUGUCGUUCAGAUCGACAUGGAGGAUUUCGACCCUUCCGGCAAAGACAACACCUCUUCAUCACAGACGGGCGACAGUGAACCUCAUUCGGAUGAUUCAGAGUCGUUGUCGGAUCGAGGUAGCAGUUCACGUCAAGUCUCCCGACCGUCUUCACUCGGCUCGUCCAUCAGCGAUGUACGCGACGAUCCGCCGGCCGCCAACACUCAACCGUCGACGCCCAUCACGUCCCAGCAACAACCCACCAUGGCGGCGGCGGCAGCCGCCGUCGCUUCCGGCGCCAUGACUCCCAACGGCGACAUUGACUACAAAAAAUUAUGGGAGGAAAGCCAAGUGGAGAACGAACGGCUGCGCGAUCGAUUGCGAUCCACGCACGAAGAGCUGUCCAAAUGUAAAGAUCAGCUGGACAACGCCUUUCAAGUGAGCAACGCACGCAACGCCAUGACGGAAGCGGAGAAACGUGAACGUCGAGCCCUCGAGCGGAAGCUCUCCGAGAUGGAAGAAGAGCUCAAACAAUUGCAAAAGUUGAAGGCCGAAAAUGAGAAGCUGAAAGCGGAGAAUCGGGCCCUAACGCGUGUCGUUUCCAAAUUGACGGCCAACGCAACUCUGGCGUCCACUUCUUCCUCCUCCAACUCCUCCUCUUAUUAUUCUCCCUCCGCCAAUUCUGCAACUUCGUCUUCUUCUUCCUCUUCGUACAUCGGCGGAAAAUAGGAAUCCCAGAAGAUGGUGGAGCUGCUUCGCUCGGACAUUGGCAAAAUGCGUGACGAGAAUGGCGCUCUCAUCCGCGUCAUCAGCAAACUCUCCAAGUGAUAUUGUUGAACUCUUCCAAUGAUUUUCCCUCCUCUUCUCAUUUGCUUCCUGACUGCAUACCUUCCUCACUUCAAUGUGCAAAAGAUCACAUGGUUUCGGCUGUCGGGAGGGAGAGGUCCAUCUUUAUGAAUCGCCCGGCGCGAGGUAAAAGCGGAAAAUGAUUCGCAAAAUGUUUUGUUGUCGGGUCGCCUUUAUGGAAAUCAACCCCCCCAAAAAAAAAAAAAUAAUAAUAACUCGAUUCAAUCAUUUAAAGUAAUAUUAAAAAUUAAGUAAAAUAACAACGAUGAUAGUAAAAAUGAAUUUCUUUCGGUGAUUACAAUCAUUAGUUUUGCUGCCGCCUCCCGCCCACAGAUCUUUUCGUGAGAGAGAGAAGGGAACAUUGUGCGUGGUAAAGCAGCUUUCCUAAUCGAAACAUUUGAACAAGACGAAAAAGAAGAAAAUUAUUUAAAGAAGUAGAAAAGAGAAACGAGAGAUCGGCAUUUGAAUUUGAAAUCCUUGUUCAAAUUGAGACGAAGAAAUUGAUUUAACGGCAUGCCAAUUACAUCCAUUCUCUUUCCCUCUCUUGCUCUUCUUGAAAUGGAUCUGCUCCAUCUUCCUUUUGAUACCGACACAUUUGUAUUUAAAAAAAAAAAAAAAUUUUGCGCGACUGGUAUUAUUAAUUACUAUAUUGUCAUCCUUUUGUGUGACUUGUUUUUGAGGCUUUGUUGAUUUUGGUUUUUCGAUGGAAUGUUCCCGGAGUUUCGUUUUGGGUGGAGUAUCUUUAAGCCGGAUUGUCCAUCCCCCCCGCACUUGUUCUCAAAUGAACGCCAAACAAAAGAGGAAAAAGUAUCUUGAAAGAAAAGAAAAUGUAAUCGUAAAUUUAGAUUGGCAACGUGAGGGGUAGACAGCAGAUGCCGAGAAGUUGAUGACGUAUUUAUUCGACUCUAUUUGGCAAAAGCUAUCUACCGUGUUAAUUCUUUUUAUUUUUUUGUUUCAAUCCUAUUUCGAUUGAUAAAUUGCGGUUGGCAGAUUGGGGGCGGGGGGUGGGUGGCAUCAAGGAAUUUGCAUUUUAGUAAUUCUUUUUUUGAAAUUGGGUUGGAUUGUGUCAGCCUUGCAUUCGUAGAAAAAGGGAAAACAAUUUUUUUAAAUCCAAUUAAAAGGUGCCUUAUGGUCGCGAUCACAAUUUAUGUCAGUUUUUUUUCUUAUUGAAUUAGCUCUCCAAACCACUCAAACUGAUAAUUUUGAUUAUUUUUUUUUUUCAUUGGUUAUUUCGAGCGUGUGAAACAAUUUUUGGCGAUCGUGUUAGUCUCUCUCACUCUCUCUUCGCUUUCUUUAUCUUCCACCACAAACAACAAGCCUCAAUCUCCUCCUUUUAUGGGGAUUCCUUUCUCUUUAGAUACAAUUUUGUUUUUCUUACUCCUUUCUCGCUGCUGCCGCUUUUUUGUUUCACGUACACACUUUUGUUGUUGUUGUCUCCUGAACGUCUUCACACUACUCACUCACGCCCUCACCCCCUCAAAAAAAUAUGUCACCUCUUUGUGGUGUUGACUCUUUAAAGAAGAAGAAAGAAGCGAUUAAUUGAUGGUUCAUGAUGAUGCGAAAAAGCAAAAAGAGAAUUGCACCCGACCUUGAAACAAAAAGAGAAAAAAAUUAUGAACAAUUUUUGUUUUUCGAAACCUGAAGGAUAUUUCAAUCACAAGGUAAAAACAAAUUUUUUGAGGAAAAUCGAGUGCCGAUUUUUGUUACGUUGAUUGUACAUUUUUUUGAACCUCCUCCCUCCCAAUGGCCCCACCCCUUGCCCCCUCCCUUGCUCCUGACUUGAUGAUGAAAAAAAUCCAUGUUGUUCAACUAUUUUUCUUCUCUAGAUUCGCUUUGAAAUUGAUAAUUAAGCUUUUCUGUCCCCAAAAAACCCCCCUCACAUACAAUGAUAUAAUCUUUACAUUUUUUUUCCCCUUUUGUUUGCCACCCAAUUUUUUUUUUACUGUUUCUCUAUCUCUUUCUAUUUCUCCAGUUGUGUCCUAGUCGCGUUGAUUCUCUCGCCAGUUUCUACCGAUUCGUUGAAUUAUAAUCCAAUUAAUGACGAACUUUUUUUUUCUUUAUCUUAUAUUCUCAUACCUGCCCCCCAUCUCCCCAUCUCCCCAAUUCCCUUCCCUCAAUUUGCCUCGUGACAUUUUCUUUUUUGUAUUUGUUCGUGUAUUAUUCAUUAGCUUCCAUAUUAUGAUUAGAUAAGAGAGGCCAUUUGAUUAAACAAUAAGUCUUUUUUUUUUUUCCUUUUAAAUUAUCUAGUGCCCUUUCCCUUACGCUCCAAGAAUAUUCUUUCCCUCCCAUAACCUAAUCAAAUAACUAUCCCUGCCCUUUAAUUAUUUUUUUUCUUCUUUUGUUGGAAAUUUUCUUUUGUCUUAUUGGGGAGAACGUCACAACAGAAGAAAUCGACGGGAAAAAGUAGUUAUCAAAAGAUAACCGAAUCGAUUCGGAUUUCUCCUCGUCAAUGAGUAAGAUUUUUGGACUCCUCCCUACAGUUUCUCUUCUCCCUGCUCCUUAAUGAUUUUGUCGACGUUGUUAUAAUUUUAAAAUUUGUCAUCACAUUAUAUACACACCGCCUCCUCCCGAAGAAGAAGAAGAAGAAAAAACAAAGAAACAAAAAGAAUGAAAAUCAAGCAAAUAAGAAAAAAAAAAUAAUAAUAAAGCCAUGAUAUUUGAAAUGAUUUCAAACAAACAAAAACCUAAAAAAAAAAAAAAAACGAGGAUAAAAAAAAAAAAUACGAAGUUUGAAAAUACAACUGGAAUGUUCAGUUAAAUGUUUUAUGCUGUUUUGAAAUGAACGUUUUACUCAGAAA